This 249-nucleotide ribosomal RNA is filed under the name uncultured Chroococcidiopsis sp. RNAcentral's name for it is "partial 16S ribosomal RNA". It matches the Rfam family "Bacterial small subunit ribosomal RNA", at positions 796 to 1044 of the family's 1533-position model. The record is from RNAcentral. Lineage: Bacteria; Bacillati; Cyanobacteriota; Cyanophyceae; Chroococcidiopsidales; Chroococcidiopsidaceae.
CUAGCUGUAAACGAUGGAUACUAGGCGUUGAGAGUAUCGACCCUCUCAGUGUCGUAGCUAACGCGUUAAGUAUCCCGCCUGGGGAUACGCGCGCAAGCGUGAAACUCAAAGGAAUUGACGGGGGCCCGCACAAGCGGUGGAGUAUGUGGUUUAAUUCGAUGCAACGCGAAGAACCUUACCAGGGCUUGACAUGUCCGGAACCCUGCCCAAAGGCGGGGGUGCCUACGGGAACCGGAACACAGGUGGUGC